AAGAGGAUUGUCUUAAAAUUUUAGCAUCGGAUAAAAAUAAAACUUUAUUGAUUAAUAGUUAAGGAUGGAGAUAGAGGAACAUUAUGAAUUAGGGUAUUACUAUUCCCAAAUUACAUUGCUAUAAAUUUAAUUAGUAUACACGUGCAUUAGAUGAAAAUCUUUUAAUAGUGACUUAUACAUUUCUAUGUCUUAACCUAGACAAUAUAAAUAAAAUUGAAAUACUAUACACCCUCCCUAUGUGUCCAAAUCAGAGCGAGGCUACACCGGAACACGAACACCAAAACGCAACACCUGAGAAACUGAGCUCCCAAGUGCUCAGUCAAAUAACAAAUAACAGGGUGAGUUUAUGUAAUAGGCAAAAAAAAAAAGAAUAGGAAAUAUACAACAAGGUAUAAACAUGAUUAUAUCACAUUAAUAAUUCAUGCAACAUUUAUACCAUUUAAUCAACACCUCAAUUUACACAUCACUAAUCAAUUAAUUAAAUCAAUCAUACAACAUUAAUUACUUAGAAUAUCGGAGAUAUAUUACUAAAUAUCCAACUCAUCAUUACACAUCAUUUAGCACCCACUAAUUAACACACACAAAUUAUCACUUAUCAUUUAGUGUGCAAUUAUGCAAACAUCAAUUAACAAUUUAUCAGUCACACAACAUUUCAUCUAUUGAAAUUAAGUAUGCAAUGUCUCCCUAAACACGACUUAUAUUCAUGUGGUACCCAUCAUCAUAAUUUUGGAAAACUGAUUCCAAAUGUUUUAGAUCAUCGUCUCUAAAACAACAGUAAACUAGAUCAUCGUCUCUAGAAUACUCAUCAAUAAACACCACUUAUGAAUGCAUGAAUGUGCAUAUACCAAACAUAUGGUUUUAUCUCAACUAUAACAUCAACAUAAUAUGGAUAACUUAAUCCAAAUAUUCUAAAUCAUCGUCUUUAGAAUACACCUACGCAUGAUAAAUCCUUAUUUAUCAUCAUCAAUAAAUUGAACAUCCUAGUUAUAUUCAUGAACAAUCACACCUUGUCAUUGUGCAUAAGCACGAAAACACCGUCAUUGUGCAUACGUGCGAACACAUCACUAAUACACCAAAAGAAUUCAUACACCAAUAAAAUUCAUCAUUUAGUACACAAAUAGAAUUCAUCAAUAAUCCACGUCAAUGAAACUUCAUCAAUAAACUCACAAAUAAAGUUUAUCGAUUAAAUACAUUAACUAACACAUCAAUUUAGUUUCAUUCAUAUAUUCAUCACGAAUAUCUUUUUGAAGAUUAGAUAAAAUAAUUUAGCUAAUCCUAACUCCACUCAACUACAUUCUCUAUAUUUCCCAAAAUUCUUACUUAUUCUUUACUAGAUUCGUUUUAAUUCGAAAACAACUUCUCCUAAUUAAUCACUAAGUUUUAUCAUGAAAAGUAGUGAUUUAAACUCUCCUAAACUCACCUAAUAAUUAGGAUAAAGUAGUAUAAAGAUUAGGGAUAAAAAGGGAUGGGAAAAAUAGACCUAACAUCACACAACAACGCAAACCAGAGUUGCAGGACUGCGAUUUGCGCAUGAUGCGCUAGCUUUGCGCAUGAGGCGCAAAAGACAGCAUCCACCUUCAGAAUUUUGCAGGUUUUGACCUGCUCACUGCACAGACCAUAAGUUGAGCUACGUAUAUCGGAUUUCAAUGCGUAAACAUGAGUUGAAAAUCUAAGGAAAAGAUCUACAACGUUUAUGUUGACGUCAAAAAUCAGUUCAGAACGCAAAGGGCUCAAAUUUUAACGUUUUUGCUUCAGACUUUAUCAAAAACUGUUUUUCUUAAACUAUAAAAAUUCAAUCUUUGAUUUUCCAAAAACCCAAUUUGAAUCCCAUUAGUCCUAAGAUUUAACUAAUCAACACUCAUGAUAUUUGAACCUCAACAAACAUCAUUCCAUCAACAAUCAACCCCAAAUCAGCAAGAUUCAUCAUCAUUAAUUCAUUAAAUCAUAUAAAAACCCAUUUUUCUCAAAAAACACACAAAUGAACAACACAACAAGAUAACAUGGAUUUUCUCAUAUAUGAUUCAAACAUGAAUCUAAAAGCAUCAAUAAGAUUAUUCACAACUAAAACAACAACCUACACCCAAGGGUUUUAUCACAAAACCCAAAUCUAAUGAGAGGGAUGAAGGAUCUUGGGAGAUGAGAAUGAAUUUCAUUCUCUCCCUUCAUCAACCAACCUCUACCCAUAAACAAAACUCCCCUUACCUCUAAUAAAAUGGAGAAAUGUUGGUAAGUUGACUUGAUCAAUCCUUGAAUUCCUCUUCUUUCUCUUUGUUCAUCUUCUUAUUCUUCCUCGCUAACUUUCUCCCAAACCCUUUUCUUUCUCUAUUCUCUUCUUUCUCUACGUUUCUUUUCUAUCUCUACCUCUUCUCAAUUCUCAAUUAUUUAUUUUUUUUUGACCUCUCUCUCUCUAACUUAACCUUACAUAAUCAUAAAUUAAGUUUUCCCCACCUUGCCACAUUACCAUUUUACCCUUGCACUAAAAUGGGCUCAUACAUGACUAGCUCAAUAAAUUGACAUCCUAAUUAACACAUAAAACACACAAAUAUGGCAAUUAAUUAAAUCAAAAUAAAAUAAUAAAAUCAAUAACACAGUUACGAAAUCGGGGCGUUACAACUCUCCCCCACAUAAAGAAUUUUCCCCCUCGAAAAUUACUCGUAAGAUACAACUCCAAAUUCUAUCAAUGUCGUAAUUCUUCCGAAAGGUAAACUAGGUAUCAGAGUCUGGUUUUGACUCUCUACUUAAGGUACUAACGGUAAAAUCUACUGAAUGACACUCAUUCCCUCUAAACCAUACUUCUCUCGUUUUCCAAAACAAUUGGAAACCAAAUUCAAUUCAAUAAAAAACAAUUCAUCAUGAAGGAGUUACCUAGGUGCAACAUCAAUGAAAGACUAGGUAUUUCUAUCAUGCAUAAUAAAAUAGAUCACAUACCAUAUUUACGAAAACAAAACUCCUGGAACAUAGUCAUAACACCCACAUGAAGGAAACGGUACAUUCAAAAGCAUGCAACACAGAAAAGCAUAUACACGGGACAUGUUAUAAUAUUACGAAACAAGAACAACUAAUCUAGCAAGUAAUUCAUAGCACGAACUGAAAUAAGACAGAUAUCAACUUCAUAAAACCACAAACUCACAUACUAAUAACACAAACAUCAAUAAAUUCGUACACACUCACACAACUAGCAUAUCCCUAAACAUAUUUUAGUAUCAAACAACAAAACAACACAAAAUCAUUUAUAGCAUCAUAUACAAUCACCACAAAACUUCGAAUUCACAAAACACGAUUAGUACAUUAUACAAAAUCACAUUUUCCAUAACCAAUCAUUUCUUAUUUCGCAGCAAUCUCUACACACUACUAAAGUUUGACAAAAUUAGUUUACUCCAGUCAACACGAUUUCGUCUACUAUUAACAACAGAUUAAGGGUGAUCAUAUCCUUAAUUUGCUAAUAGGUUGCCGAUAAUCAUGAUCGUGGCAUAACUCUCUUUAUCAAACUAACAUACUCCUAAAAAAACAUUGCAUUCAAAAUCAUGUGGUGACUAAAAGGAACACUUAAAGAAAAUGAAUCAUUCACAUUUGAAUUCACAUCAUUUUGGAAAAGAUGAUUGGAUAUAUCAUACACAUACUAAAGCUCACUCAAUUUCACCAUUAAUAUUUUACUCUUCCUAAUUUUAUACAAAAGUUAUUUUUCUAUUACAAGAGAAAAGAAUCUAGAUUUUCAACAAGGUUUAUCACCGGUUCAUAAACGUCGGUAGAUUAAGACUAGUUUUAAAGUUAUCAUAGAAACUACACACAAAACACACAUGUAGACAUACAUAAAAUUUCACAUACGCUCUAACACAAUAGUUAAUUUCAACUUUCAAUUCUAUUAACGUAUUCAAGUCAAUCUAAAACUUCGUAGUAUGCGAAAAAUUUCGAUAUCCUACACAAUUUCGAUUAAUAACAACCGCAAGCGAUAACAUCGAUGAAUAAACCACAACGAUAGCAAUGAUAACGAAUAAAUAUAACAUCAUUGAUUAAUAGUAAUUAUCAUAUCCAUUACGUACAAAUCAUUUCAGCAUAGUUCAACACUUAGUCAUUUUCAAAAAUGCUCAACGAUGAUUAGUUAAGAUCGGUUAAUAACAAACAAUUAUCAUUUCAACAAUAAUAAUUGAAAAGAAACUUUAAGAAGUUAUUCAAAUACAAUUUGAAAAUAUAUCUACAAUUCAAAUCCAAUCACAUAAACUUCAUCAUGCAAUUUUUGACAUGUAUAAGAAAACAAGUAAGCAUUUUUCGCUACGCAUUCAUCCCUAAUCAUACCUAACGAAAAUGAAAUCAAGUUUAUAACUAACAUACAUCAUCAUAUGCUUAAUUCAUAAAAGCUCUUAUAAUCAUCAAAAAUCAUUAAGCUUGAAAAUAAAGAGUCAAACAUAUGCAUCUUCAAGUUUCAAAUAUGAACAUUAACAAUAGAAAAUACUAAUAUUUCAUCAUGAUUAAAACUGCAAUAACAUUCUUAUCAACAUAGAUUUUCAAGUGAAAUCACUAAAUCGAGCAAAACAUUUCAUUUGACAAGAAAACAUCAAAGAUCAUGUAGAAGCCCUAAGACCUCAAGUAACAUAGAUUUUUCAUCAAUAACAAGGAGAUCUAUACUCAUACACAAGCAUAAUCAUUUUGGACGGAGCAAUAAGAAGGAAACAUCGUCACUUUAAUCAUUACCCUCAAAGUCAAAACAAUCAAUCAUAUUCUCAUCAAAUGUAAGUCAUCAUACUAGUUUACUAAAUCAAGUAAAAUUCCUAUUCAACCAACUAGAAACAAGUAUCAACUAACGAUUAAGCAUUAACGAGUUAGUACUUAAAAUUAUCCUCAUUUUAGGUUUCAUUCAUGAAACAAAAGUUAUAAAUUCUAAUCUCAUUACCAAUUAAAACACAACAUCGAGAAUCGAGUAAAGCAACAUGUCAUGAAGAAAAUAACAAAGAACUUCAUAAAGCAAUUCACCAACUUGCAAGAUAACUAAAUGACUAAGGUGCAAGUGUAAACAACAAUCAACUCAUAAAAAAGAUCAAUCGAUAAACAAACACAACUGACUCAAUGCACACUUGGCCUGACUCAACAUAUCUGCUCUGAUCGACACAUAACACACACCUAGCCCACAUAGUCCGAUUGGACCAACGGGGCUCUGAUACCACUUUGUAACACCCUAACCUGAAUACUAGUAUUAUUCCAGUUUUAUAAGAGGAUUGUCUUAAAAUUUUAGCAGCGGAUAAAAAUAAAACUUUAUUGAUUAAUAAUUAAGGAUUGAGAUGGAGGAAUAUUAUGAAUUAGGGUAUUACUAAUCCCAAAUUACAUUGCUAUAAAUUUAAUUAGUAUACACGUGCAUUAGAUGAAAAUCUUUUACUAGUGACUUAUACAUUUCUAUGUCUUAACCUAGACAAUAUAAAUAAAAUUGAAAUACUAUACACCCUCCCUAUGUGUCCAAAUCAGAGCGAGGCUACACCGGAACACGAACACCAAAACGCAACACCUGAGAAACUGAGCUCCCAAGUGCCCAGUCAAAUAACAAAUAACAGGGUGAGUUUAUGUAAUAGGCAAAAAAAAAAGGAAAUAUACAACAAGGUAUAAACAUGAUUAUAUCACAUUAAUAAUUCAUGCAACAUUUAUACCAUUUAAUCAACACCUCAAUUUACACAUCACUAAUCAAUUAAUUAAAUCAAUCAUACAUCAUUAAUUACUUAGAAUAUCGGAGAUAUAUUACUAAAUAUCCAACUCACCAUUACACAUCAUCUAGCACCCACCAAUUAACACACACAAAUUAUCACUUAUCAUUUAGUGUGCAAUUAUGCAAACAUCAAUUAACAAUUUAUCAGUCACACAACAUUUCAUCUAUUGAAGUUAAGUAUGCAAUGUCUCCCUAAACAAGACUUAUAUGCAUGUGGUACCCAUCAUCAUAAUUUUGGAAAACUGAUUCCAAAUGUUUUAGAUCAUCGUCUCUAAAACAACAGUAAACUAGAUCAUCGUUUCUAGAAUACUCAUCAAUAAACACAACUUAUGAAUGCAUGAAUGUGCAUAUACCAAACAUAUGGUUUUAUCUCAACUAUAACAUCAACAUAAUAUGGAUAAC
This 6091-nucleotide long non-coding RNA is filed under the name Trifolium pratense (red clover). RNAcentral describes it as "long non-coding RNA (TPRA_LNC003210)". Lineage: Eukaryota; Viridiplantae; Streptophyta; Magnoliopsida; Fabales; Fabaceae. The record is from RNAcentral.